RNAcentral lists this transfer RNA (68 nucleotides) under Odontodactylus havanensis. RNAcentral's name for it is "tRNA-Ala". The record is from RNAcentral. Lineage: Eukaryota; Metazoa; Arthropoda; Malacostraca; Stomatopoda; Odontodactylidae.
UAGGACAAUAGUCAACGAUGAUACCUGAUUUGCAUUUAGGAGGUGCUACAAAAUUAGCUUGUCUUAAC